AUACACACGGGGGGGAAAAACAGGAAUAUACUACGAACACAGACAUAAUAGGGUUGACAAGCGAUCAUACAAGCACACAAACACGCACACAAAUGGAGUUUUAUAACUUGCCAGAGUUACACAUGCUCAUAUGCAAACUAUACUAUACUUUUUCAGCCUAUACAACAUACUUUGUUGCUUCAAAAUAAAAAAAAUUAACAGUUUUCAUGGGAAGAAAAGAAUGAAUGAUUCCUUGUAUUAACAGAUGGCGUAGCUGGUCUGAACACUGUUU
This is a long non-coding RNA of Carassius carassius (crucian carp), 271 nucleotides long. RefSeq lists it as uncharacterized. The record is from RefSeq and is a predicted model, not a curated record. The transcript has 2 exons. Lineage: Eukaryota; Metazoa; Chordata; Actinopteri; Cypriniformes; Cyprinidae.